Molecule: ribosomal RNA, 497 nt
Filed under: uncultured bacterium
Lineage: Bacteria
Description: partial 16S ribosomal RNA
Rfam family: Bacterial small subunit ribosomal RNA
Source: RNAcentral
GAUGAACGCUGGCGGCGUGCCUAAUACAUGCAAGUAGAACGCUGAAGCUUGGUGCUUGCACCGAGCGGAUGAGUUGCGAACGGGUGAGUAACGCGUAGGUAACCUGCCUGGUAGCGGGGGAUAACUAUUGGAAACGAUAGCUAAUACCGCAUGACAACAGUUAUUACAUGAUAACUGUUUAAAAGGGGCAAUUGCUCCACUACCAGAUGGACCUGCGUUGUAUUAGCUAGUUGGUGAGGUAACGGCUCACCAAGGCGACGAUACAUAGCCGACCUGAGAGGGUGAUCGGCCACACUGGGACUGAGACACGGCCCAGACUCCUACGGGAGGCAGCAGUAGGGAAUCUUCGGCAAUGGACGGAAGUCUGACCGAGCAACGCCGCGUGAGUGAAGAAGGUUUUCGGAUCGUAAAGCUCUGUUGUAAGAGAAGAACGAGUGUGAGAGUGGAAAGUUCACACUGUGACGGUAUCUUACCAGAAAGGGACGGCUAACUACGUG